RNAcentral lists this ribosomal RNA (498 nucleotides) under uncultured bacterium. RNAcentral's name for it is "partial 16S ribosomal RNA". It matches the Rfam family "Bacterial small subunit ribosomal RNA", at positions 28 to 508 of the family's 1533-position model. The record is from RNAcentral.
GAUGAACGCUGGCGGCGUGCCUAAUACAUGCAAGUCGAGCGAACAGACGAGGAGCUUGCUCCUCUGACGUUAGCGGCGGACGGGUGAGUAACACGUGGAUAACCUACCUAUAAGACUGGGAUAACUUCGGGAAACCGGAGCUAAUACCGGAUAAUAUAUUGAACCGCAUGGUUCAAUAGUGAAAGACGGUUUUGCUGUCACUUAUAGAUGGAUCCGCGCCGCAUUAGCUAGUUGGUAAGGUAACGGCUUACCAAGGCAACGAUGCGUAGCCGACCUGAGAGGGUGAUCGGCCACACUGGAACUGAGACACGGUCCAGACUCCUACGGGAGGCAGCAGUAGGGAAUCUUCCGCAAUGGGCGAAAGCUUGACGGGGCAACGCCGCGUGAGUGAUGAAGGUCUUCGGAUCGUAAAACUCUGUUAUUAGGGAAGAACAAAUGUGUAAGUAACUAUGCACGUCUUGACGGUACCUAAUCAGAAAGCCACGGCUAACUACGUGC